GGGUUGUGAGGUUAAGCGACUAAGCGUACACGGUGGAUGCCCUGGCAGUCAGAGGCGAUGAAGGACGUGCUAAUCUGCGAAAAGCGCCGGCGAGGUGAUAUGAACCUUUGACCCGGCGAUGUCCGAAUGGGGAAACCCAGUGUGWUYCGWCACMCUAUCGUUAACUGAAUACAUAGGUUAACGAGGCGAACCGGGGGAACUGAAACAUCUAAGUACCCCGAGGAAAAGAAAUCAACCGAGAUUCCCCCAGUAGCGGCGAGCGAACGGGGAGCAGCCCGGAGUCUGAAUCAGCUUGUGUGUUAGUGGAACGGUCUGGAAAGUCCGACGGUACAGGGUGAUAGUCCCGUACACGAAAAUGCACAGGUUGUGAACUCGAAGAGUAGGGCGGGACACGUGGUAUCCUGUCUGAAUAUGGGGGGACCAUCCUCCAAGGCUAAAUACUCCUGACUGACCGAUAGUGAACCAGUACCGUGAGGGAAAGGCGAAAAGAACCCCGGCGAGGGGAGUGAAAAAGAACCUGAAACCGUGUACGUACAAGCAGUGGGAGCCUACUUGUUAGGUGACUGCGUACCUUUUGUAUAAUGGGUCAGCGACUUAUAUUCUGUAGCAAGGUUAACCGWAUAGGGGAGCCGAAGGGAAACCGAGUCUUAACUGGGCGUUAAGUUGCAGGGUAUAGACCCGAAACCCGGUGAUCUAGUCAUGGGCAGGUUGAAGGUUGGGUAACACUAACUGGAGGACCGAACCGACUAAUGUUGAAAAAUUAGCGGAUGACCUGUGGCUGGGGGUGAAAGGCCAAUCAAACCGGGAGAUAGCUGGUUCUCCCCGAAAGCUAUUUAGGUAGCGCCUCGUGAACUCAUCUUCGGGGGUAGAGCACUGUUUCGGCUAGGGGGCCAUCCCGGCUUACCAACCCGAUGCAAACUACGAAUACCGAAGAAUGUUAUCACGGGAGACACACGGCGGGKGCUAACGUCCGUCGUGAAGAGGGAAACAACCCAGACCGCCAGCUAAGGUCCCAAAGUCAUGGUUAAGUGGGAAACGAUGUGGGAAGGCACAGACAGCCAGGAUGUUGGCUUAGAAGCAGCCAUCAUUUAAAGAAAGCGUAAUAGCUCACUGGUCGAGUCGGCCUGCGCGGAAGAUGUAACGGGGCUAAACCAUGCACCGAAGCUGCGGCAGCGACGCUUAUGCGUUGUUGGGUAGGGGAGCGUUCUGUAAGCCGUUGAAGGUGGCCUGUGAGGGUUGCUGGAGGUAUCAGAAGUGCGAAUGCUGACAUAAGUAACGAUAAAGCGGGUGAAAAGCCCGCUCGCCGGAAGACCAAGGGUUCCUGUCCAACGUUAAUCGGGGCAGGGUGAGUCGACCCCUAAGGCGAGGCCGAAAGGCGUAGUCGAUGGGAAACAGGUUAAUAUUCCUGUACUUGGUGUUACUGCGAAGGGGGGACGGAGAAGGCUAUGUUAGCCGGGCGACGGUUGUCCCGGUUUAAGCAUGUAGGCGGAGGUUCCAGGUAAAUCCGGUACCUUAUUAACGCUGAGGUGUGAUGACGAGGCACUACGGUGCUGAAGUAACAAAUGCCCUGCUUCCAGGAAAAGCCUCUAAGCAUCAGGUAACACGAAAUCGUACCCCAAACCGACACAGGUGGUCAGGUAGAGAAUACCAAGGCGCUUGAGAGAACUCGGGUGAAGGAACUAGGCAAAAUGGUGCCGUAACUUCGGGAGAAGGCACGCUGAUAUGUAGGUGAAGCCCCUGCGGGUGGAGCUGAAAUCAGUCGAAGAUACCAGCUGGCUGCAACUGUUUAUUAAAAACACAGCACUGUGCAAACACGAAAGUGGACGUAUACGGUGUGACGCCUGCCCGGUGCCGGAAGGUUAAUUGAUGGGGUUAGCGGYAACGCGAAGCUCUUGAUCGAAGCCCCGGUAAACGGCGGCCGUAACUAUAACGGUCCUAAGGUAGCGAAAUUCCUUGUCGGGUAAGUUCCGACCUGCACGAAUGGCGUAAUGAUGGCCAGGCUGUCUCCACCCGAGACUCAGUGAAAUUGAACUCGCUGUGAAGAUGCAGUGUACCCGCGGCAAGACGGAAAGACCCCGUGAACCUUUACUAUAGCUUGACACUGAACACUGGUCCUUGAUGUGUAGGAUAGGUGGGAGGCUUUGAAGCGUGGACGCCAGUCUGCGUGGAGCCRMCCUUGAAAUACCACCCUUUAAUGGCUGGUGUUCUAACGUAGACCCGUGAUCCGGGUUGCGGACAGUGUCUGGUGGGUAGUUUGACUGGGGCGGUCUCCUCCCAAAGAGUAACGGAGGAGCACGAAGGUUAGCUAAUCCUGGUCGGACAUCAGGAGGUUAGUGCAAUGGCAUAAGCUAGCUUGACUGCGAGAGUGACGGCUCGAGCAGGUGCGAAAGCAGGUCAUAGUGAUCCGGUGGUUCUGAAUGGAAGGGCCAUCGCUCAACGGAUAAAAGGUACUCCGGGGAUAACAGGCUGAUACCGCCCAAGAGUUCAUAUCGACGGCGGUGUUUGGCACCUCGAUGUCGGCUCAUCACAUCCUGGGGCUGAAGUAGGUCCCAAGGGUAUGGCUGUUCGCCAUUUAAAGUGGUACGCGAGCUGGGUUUAGAACGUCGUGAGACAGUUCGGUCCCUAUCUGCCGUGGGCGCUGGAGAAUUGAGGGGGGCUGCUCCUUAUCUGCCGUGGGCGCUGGAGAAUUGAGGGGGGCUGCUCCUAGUACGAGAGGACCGGAGUGGACGCAUCACUGGUGUUCGGGUUGUCAUGCCAAUGGCACUGCCCGGUAGCUAAAUGCGGAAGAGAUAAGUGCUGAAAGCAUCUAAGCACGAAACUUGCCCCGAGAUGAGUUCUCCCUGAGACUAUAAGUCUCCUGAAGGAACGUUGAAGACGACGACGUUGAUAGGUCGGGUGUGUAAGCGCAGCGAUGCGUUGAGCUAACCGAUACUAAUGAACCGUGAGGCUUAACCUUACAACGCCGAAGCUGUU
RNAcentral lists this ribosomal RNA (2973 nucleotides) under Enterobacter kobei. RNAcentral describes it as "bacterial LSU rRNA". It matches the Rfam family "Bacterial large subunit ribosomal RNA". The record is from RNAcentral. Lineage: Bacteria; Pseudomonadati; Pseudomonadota; Gammaproteobacteria; Enterobacterales; Enterobacteriaceae.